CAGCUUCCUGCCCUACCAGCCUCCAUUGUUGUCCUCAAAGCUGGCCAAGUUCUGUUGACAUCUGAAAAUAACUUGGACAACCUAGAGGACAACGGUGGAGGCUGGUAGGGCAGGAGGCUG
Non-coding RNA from Podarcis lilfordi (Lilford's wall lizard), 120 nucleotides. Lineage: Eukaryota; Metazoa; Chordata; Lepidosauria; Squamata; Lacertidae. The record is from the annotation of a GenBank genome assembly.